GCCCCUGUGGUGCAGUGGUCAGCGCGCUCCGUGAUGCCUUCUCGUGAUGUACUCACACUGAAGACCUACCGAGCAUAUGAGGCCCCCCUUGGAAGGUGCACCUUGGUAGGGGAGAUAUUGCCCGUGGUUGGUCUUUCUUCAGUAUGAGUACACCAGGGGAGGGAAUGGAGAGGACCUUGGUUCGAUUCCAGGCAGGUGUG
Clonostachys rhizophaga is the source of this 200-nucleotide non-coding RNA. The record is from the annotation of a GenBank genome assembly. NCBI's taxonomy places the organism in Eukaryota, Fungi, Ascomycota, Sordariomycetes, Hypocreales, Bionectriaceae.